RNAcentral lists this transfer RNA (58 nucleotides) under Ictidomys tridecemlineatus (thirteen-lined ground squirrel). RNAcentral describes it as "Spermophilus tridecemlineatus (thirteen-lined ground squirrel) tRNA". It matches the Rfam family "tRNA", at positions 8 to 63 of the family's 71-position model. From Rfam's summary of the family: Transfer RNA (tRNA) molecules are approximately 80 nucleotides in length. Their secondary structure includes four short double-helical elements and three loops (D, anti-codon, and T loops). Lineage: Eukaryota; Metazoa; Chordata; Mammalia; Rodentia; Sciuridae. The record is from Rfam by way of RNAcentral.
UGGCUCAGUGGGUAGAGUGCUUGCCUUGAGUGCAUAAGACCCUGGGUUCAAUCCCCAG